Molecule: ribosomal RNA, 31 nt
Filed under: Apiotrichum mycotoxinovorans
Lineage: Eukaryota; Fungi; Basidiomycota; Tremellomycetes; Trichosporonales; Trichosporonaceae
Description: Apiotrichum mycotoxinivorans partial 18S ribosomal RNA
Source: RNAcentral
CGCGAGUAUUAGUGAUUGCAUCUUGGCUUAA